CCUACGGGAGGCUGCAGUGGGGAAUAUUGGACAAUGGGGGGAACCCUGAUCCAGCCAUGCCGCGUGUGUGAAGAAGGCCCUCGGGUUGUAAAGCACUUUCAGUGAGGAAGAACGCCUGGUGGUGAAUACCCAUCAGGAAAGACAUCACUCACAGAAGAAGCACCGGCUAACUCCGUGCCAGCAGCCGCGGUAAUACGGAGGGUGCGAGCGUUAAUCGGAAUUACUGGGCGUAAAGCGCGCGUAGGUGGCUUGAUAAGCCGGUUGUGAAAGCCCCGGGCUCAACCUGGGAACGGCAUCCGGAACUGUCAAGCUAGAGUGCAGGAGAGGAAGGUAGAAUUCCCGGUGUAGCGGUGAAAUGCGUAGAGAUCGGGAGGAAUACCAGUGGCGAAGGCGGCCUUCUGGACUGACACUGACACUGAGGUGCGAAAGCGUGGGUAGCAAACAGGAUUAGAUACCCUUGUAGUC
Molecule: ribosomal RNA, 465 nt
Filed under: Vreelandella stevensii
Lineage: Bacteria; Pseudomonadati; Pseudomonadota; Gammaproteobacteria; Oceanospirillales; Halomonadaceae
Description: partial 16S ribosomal RNA
Rfam family: Bacterial small subunit ribosomal RNA
Source: RNAcentral